UUACUAUGUGUCCUCUCUGCAUCCAUUGCAGCCUGGUCAUCCUGGAAGAGGGACCCUCCCAUCUGUGGGCUCUUCUCAAGGUUUCUCAUUUACCCUAGUUGGAGUUUUGAGUUUUUCGUUGCCCUCCUGGGAGAAUAUUUGUCAUUUUUCACACGUCCUGAGUGUUGUUAGUUACCUAAAUGUUGAACAGAGGCUGUGUUGUACCGAAGUCAAAUUCCUUGUUUGACACCCUCAAACAUUGCAAAUAAACACUGAGGUAUUAGGCCCACUUACACUCACUGGUGUCUCGUAACUUGCAGAGGACUGCUCAGUGGAAGGCAUCCUCCCUUGCUACAGGGAAAUGUGCAACAGCCAGCAAAGAUGCCACAUUGAGCUUUUGAAGGACCAGUCCUGCCCUGCCACCUACAAAUAUCUGCAGAUGGUCUAUAGCUGUGAACAGAAAGUAUGUCUCGAUAGUCUGGGCAUCGCCGACGGCAGCGUUGCAGACUCUCCCUUCAAAGCCUCCUCAAUGAGAGACGCCACCCAGCCGUCGGCAGCUGGAUCCUGGUGAACCUCGGCUACAAGAGAAAGGUGACGUCGAUCGUGACCCAGGGGUGUGAUAGCAACAAUACUCGCUCCUGGGACAUCAAACUUGAGAUGAGACUAAGCGUUGACAAGAGGAAGUGGACCAAAUACCCGGACGGGAAGUUCAUCGGCGGUGGGACUCAUCUGCUUGAGACGCCCGCAAUCGCUCAGUACGUCUGCAUCCUGCCGCUAGAAAAUUGUCCAGAAUUUGGCCUCCGCUUCGACAUCUUGGGAUGCGCACAAGAGGAUGAGACGACCUGUGCCAGAAAGUUCAACAGCCUCCGUUUCACCAAUUCGAUGACAUGAGUCACGCUUGACACAAUGUUUCAUGACCGCCUGUCGUCAAUGUCACGUGUGUGUCUUCUGCAGGUUCUACUGUCCGCCCGGGUGUGACAAAGAGGAACACUUUGUCUUCGGAACGAUGGUCUACUCUGCAGUACGGGAUUGCCUGACCCCACCGGUGGACUUCUUGUCUGUGACUGCAAAAACCAGCGACAUGUGGACCGAACUGAACAACCUGGUGCUUCCCGGCACGUUCGUGUGGUCGGACCGCCACAAGGUGACCUUCACCCACUGGGCCAGCGUGUCAGCCUCGGUAAACACUCUGUGGCUGUGUUACGGCAGACUGGAAGAAGAUGGAAGCCAAUGUCUUGCGCCCAAGUCAACAGCUUCAUGUGCAAAAUGCCCCACAGAGCAUUUUCCAAUUGCCUCAUCGAAGCCACAGGUGGCGUCAUAGAGUCAACCUCGCUGUGUUGGUUCCAAACAUCCCAAGACCAAUCGAAGUCCAUGGAGAAAAUUAACAAUGCAAGCAAGACAUCAAAGAUGAAAAUUUAAUGCCCUUCCUACUCUGCUCAAAAUAAAUAGUAUCACCAUUUUAACAAAAAAAACCACAAAAACAAAAGAAAUAUCACUGACUAAGGACAACAUACCUGUACAGCUGCUGCGAGAAGGCCUGGAGAGCAAACUUAUCAUAAGUGUUUUGGGCAUUUAGCUUAGCUGUUAUUAGCCAACUAGAUGUCAUGUCCAGAUGCAAUGUGAACAAGCGUGCGAUGUUCACUAAGACUCGACUCUACUUGGUUUGUCCUUUUCUCUUGACAACUUUGAAUGCCUUUUUGUAAGGUUACUGACUCAAAGAGCAAAACACAUUGUACAGAAAUUCCAGUGCUUUCAAAGAGCCCAAUUGUAAGAACGUGAGACAAGAAUAGUUUUGAAGCUGGAAUGAAAGGUUCAAAGUCAAUUAUUGCUCUCGUUCAUUGUUUUGUUUUUACUCAUGUCGUGUUGUCUUGUCCUCAUCGGCCUGUAGAAAGCGAGCCCAGACUAGACAGCUUUUUGUUUUAUUCUACAAACCGGAUUCGGUUGAAGUUGGGAAAUUGUGUAAAAUGUAAAUAAAAACAAAACACAAUUUGAAAAUCCAUUUCAACCUAUAUUCAAUUGAAUACACGACAAAGACAACAUAUUUAAUGCUCAAAUUCAUUAACUUUAUUUUUCAAAUAAUAAUUUACUUAGAAUUUCAUGGCUGCAGCACGUGCAGUAGAAGUUAGGAAAGAGCAUGUUUACCACUAUGUUACA
Syngnathus typhle (broad-nosed pipefish) is the source of this 2133-nucleotide long non-coding RNA. RefSeq lists it as uncharacterized. The record is from RefSeq and is a predicted model, not a curated record. NCBI's taxonomy places the organism in Eukaryota, Metazoa, Chordata, Actinopteri, Syngnathiformes, Syngnathidae. The transcript is spliced from 7 exons.